Molecule: long non-coding RNA, 356 nt
Filed under: Numida meleagris (helmeted guineafowl)
Lineage: Eukaryota; Metazoa; Chordata; Aves; Galliformes; Numididae
Description: lncRNA (ENSNMEG00000006788.1)
Source: RNAcentral
CGCCGGAUCGUUUCUCCGCGGUGUGAGGGAGCCACCACCUGCAUUCUGUCCGUCAGCAGCGCUGUUUCUGGUAAAAUAAACUACUGAAAAACUGCAUAAACACCAUAAACUGGUCUUUCCAAACACAGAAAAAACAUCGCAGCUGCUGUGGGGCAGGUACCUCUGAAGGAUGACCUAACUGAGCUAGCUGACCUAGUUUCCAGUUUUGGGAAGCAUAGAAGGAAGAAUCAGGGAUCUGUGGUAAGAAAUUCAAGGAUUAAGAAAAUUCACCUUGUGCUGUGGUAACUGUUGGUAUGUUCAGUUGCUACUUUGUCUCCUGCCAGCGCAGUAUUGAACUCUAUUACUGCUAGUAGUGG